RNAcentral lists this unclassified non-coding RNA (306 nucleotides) under Leucosporidium sp. RNAcentral describes it as "partial contains 5.8S ribosomal RNA, internal transcribed spacer 2, and large subunit ribosomal RNA". The stretch from base 1 to 52 matches the Rfam family "5.8S ribosomal RNA", at positions 103 to 154 of the family's 154-position model. The record is from RNAcentral. RNAcentral also lists the same sequence under 2 other names. Lineage: Eukaryota; Fungi; Basidiomycota; Microbotryomycetes; Leucosporidiales; Leucosporidiaceae.
AACGCACCUUGCGCUCUCUGGUAUUCCGGAGAGCAUGUCUGUUUGAGUGUCAUGAACUCUUCAACCCACCAGUUUCUUGUAGACUGAAUGGUGUUUGGUUUCUGAGCGUUGCUGGUCUUCGGAUCUAGCUCGUUCGUAAUAUAUUAGCAUCUCUAAUUCGAACUCGGAUUGACUCAGUGUAAUAGACUAUUCGCUGAGGACACGCUCUUGUAGUGUGGCCGAAUGAGAUCUCAGUAGAAGCUUCCAACUACUUUAGUCAACUUUAGAUUAGACCUCAGAUCAGGCAGGAUUACCCGCUGAACUUAA